Molecule: ribosomal RNA, 253 nt
Filed under: uncultured bacterium
Lineage: Bacteria
Description: partial 16S ribosomal RNA
Rfam family: Bacterial small subunit ribosomal RNA
Source: RNAcentral
UACGAAGGGUGCAAACGUUGCUCGGAAUUAUUGGGCGUAAAGCGCACGUAGGCGGCUUGGCAAGUCGGAUGUGAAAUCCCUCGGCUCAACCAAGGAAGUGCAUCCGAAACUGCUGAGCUUGAGUACUUAAGAGGAUCGCGGAAUUCCCGGUGUAGAGGUGAAAUUCGUAGAUAUCGGGAGGAACACCAGUGGCGAAGGCGGCGAUCUGGGAAGAUACUGACGCUGAGGCGCGAAAGCUAGGGGAGCAAACGGG